This is a long non-coding RNA of Salvia miltiorrhiza (redroot sage), 709 nucleotides long. RefSeq lists it as uncharacterized. The transcript has 2 exons. The record is from RefSeq and is a predicted model, not a curated record. Lineage: Eukaryota; Viridiplantae; Streptophyta; Magnoliopsida; Lamiales; Lamiaceae.
CUUAUCUCUGCUAUAUAUAUAUAUAUAUAGACAUAUGAAAAGUCUCUCACUUUGAACUCAUCAAUUCCUCUUUUUUCACUACAUGUACGAGGCGGAGCCGUUUGAUUCUGCCAGCCAAUGAAGAUCAAAACAAAUCUCUUAAAUUGAGGAGCCUUGGUCCGAUCCAUCAGUUCGACUUCAACAACUCUCUCUGUCACCCUCAGCCACGCCAAGCAUGAUCCGAGAAUGAUGUCAAGAUAACCUAUGCUAUCUCCUCCAAAAUAAGCCUUUCCUUUGCUACAACUGAUAAAUGCCUCUUCAAGUAAGAUCAAACCUUCACACAAUUUCUGAGUAAGCGCUACUCUUUCCUCUUCGUCUUGUGACUGCCGAAGCACUUUGAUCAGUGGAUACCACUGUAAUAGUUGAAAGUUGAUUAGAAGCUGUUUGUUGAGUAAAUAUGGCAGUCAUUUUAAGUAUGUACCUUGUCAUCGAUGUAGGCUGCCCAGAAACGGGCUAAGGCGCGACCAUAGGCAUCAGAAGGGAGGAUGCACGGGCCGGUGGAAAAGGCAUCAGCAAUGUACUCCACAAUGAUGGAUGACUCACAAACAGACUUAUCUCCAUGGAUCAGAACUGGGAUUUUCUUGUGAACAGGGUUGCAUUUGAGCAGCAUAUCGCUUUUCUGUAGAGUAUUUUCUUCGAUGAACUCAUAAUCAAUCGACUUUAUGCACAA